AACGGCGAGUGAAGCGGCAACAGCUCAAAUUUGAAAUCUGGCCCCUCGGGGCCCGAGUUGUAAUUUGUAGAGGAUGCUUCUGGCGAGGCGCCGCCUGAGUUCCCUGGAACGGGACGCCAUAGAGGGUGAGAGCCCCGUCUGGCUGGACGCCGAGCCUAUGUGAAGCUCCUUCGACGAGUCGAGUAGUUUGGGAAUGCUGCUCAAAACGGGAGGUAUAUGUCUUCUAAAGCUAAAUAUUGGCCAGAGACCGAUAGCGCACAAGUAGAGUGAUCGAAAGAUGAAAAGCACUUUGAAAAGAGGGUUAAACAGUACGUGAAAUUGUUGAAAGGGAAGCGCUUGCGACCAGACUCGGCCGCGGCGGAUCAUCCGGCGUUCUCGCCGGUGCACUCCGCCGCGGCCGGGCCAGCAUCGGUUCGCCCCGGGGGAGAAAGGCGUCGGGAAUGUGGCCCCUCCGGGGGUGUUAUAGCCCGGCGCGGAAUACCCU
RNAcentral lists this ribosomal RNA (484 nucleotides) under Escovopsis sp. RNAcentral describes it as "partial large subunit ribosomal RNA". It matches the Rfam family "Eukaryotic large subunit ribosomal RNA", at positions 85 to 577 of the family's 3401-position model. Lineage: Eukaryota; Fungi; Ascomycota; Sordariomycetes; Hypocreales; Hypocreaceae. The record is from RNAcentral.